CUUACGGGGUCCUUGCUCAGGGGCCUGAGCCCAGCCCACUCGUCGGACUGCUGCCUGACAUCCUGGCCUCCCCCUCAGCAACUGCAGUGGGUCAGAGGCCUGAGGAAGGACAAACAUUGGAGCUCACUGUCGUGGAAUAGGGCUCCAGGGCUGCCGUCUCAUCUUGGCUUGGACUUGUGCUAAAAAGCUGUGGGAUGGAGGUUAACAGAAGCAAACAGGACAGGCCUCCGCAGCUGUCCGAAGAUGGGCUGUGGCACCUGUGGUGAAUUAGAGGAAGGCACCCCCUGCUGGCUGUUGCUGGCUCACAGGGCAGCCCAGGGAAGUGUAGAAGCUCCUCUGUUUCCUGCGGAUGUCCAUCACACCUUUGCAGCUGCUCCCAUGGAUGCGAAGGACUGACCCACCCGCACAUGUUCCUCCUCUGCGAUCUCUGGGCCUUUCCCUCAUGACUUCUCUGAUGCAUUUGGGCAGCUGUUUCCUGCAACCUGAGUGAUCAAUAGAUCUUCAUUCUUUUUGAAAGUAG
Molecule: long non-coding RNA, 520 nt
Filed under: Chinchilla lanigera (long-tailed chinchilla)
Lineage: Eukaryota; Metazoa; Chordata; Mammalia; Rodentia; Chinchillidae
Description: lncRNA (ENSCLAG00000023628.1)
Source: RNAcentral